This 497-nucleotide ribosomal RNA is filed under the name uncultured bacterium. Its description in RNAcentral is "partial 16S ribosomal RNA". It matches the Rfam family "Bacterial small subunit ribosomal RNA", at positions 28 to 507 of the family's 1533-position model. The record is from RNAcentral.
GACGAACGCUGGCGGCGUGCUUAAUACAUGCAAGUAGAACGCUGAGGCGAGGAGCUUACUCUUCUUGGAUGAGUUGCGAACGGGUGAGUAACGCGUAGGUAACCUGCCUUUUAGCGUGGGAUAACUAUUGGAAACGAUAGCUAAUACCGCAUAACAAUGGAUGACACAUGUCAUUUAUUUGAAAGGGGCUAUUGCUCUACUACAAGAUUGACUUGCGUUGUCAUUGCUAGUAGGUGAGGUAAUGGCCCUCCUAGGCGACGGAUCAGAGCCGACCUGGGAGGGGGGACCGCCAAACUGGGACUGGGAACAGGCCCAGACUCCCUCGGGAGGCAGCAGUAGGGAAACUUCGGGAAUGGGGGGAAAGCUGACCGGGCAACGCCGCGUGAGUGGAGAAGGGUUUCGGAUCGUAAAGAUCUGGUGUAAGUGAAGGACGGAUGUUGGAGGGAAAAGUGCACGUUGUGACGGUAGCUAACCAGAAAGGGACGGCUAACUACGUG